GGACUCGAGAUCACUCCAACCCAUGUGAACGUUACCAAACUGUUGCCUCGGCGGGAUCUCUGCCCCGGGUGCGUCGCAGCCCCGGACCAAGGCGCCCGCCGGAGGACCAACCAAAACUCUUUUUGUAUACCCCCUCGCGGGUUUUUUAUAAUCUGAGCCUUCUCGGCGCCUCUCGUAGGCGUUUCGAAAAUGAAUCAAAACUUUCAACAACGGAUCUCUUGGUUCUGGCAUCGAUGAAGAACGCAGCGAAAUGCGAUAAGUAAUGUGAAUUGCAGAAUUCAGUGAAUCAUCGAAUCUUUGAACGCACAUUGCGCCCGCCAGUAUUCUGGCGGGCAUGCCUGUCCGAGCGUCAUUUCAACCCUCGAACCCCUCCGGGGGGUCGGCGUUGGGGAUCGGCCCUGCCUCUUGGCGGUGGCCGUCUCCGAAAUACAGUGGCGGUCUCGCCGCAGCCUCUCCUGCGCAGUAGUUUGCACACUCGCAUCGGGAGCGCGGCGCGUCCACAGCCGUUAAACACCCAACUUCUGAAAUGUUGACCUCGGAUCAGGUAGGAAUACCCGCUGAACUUAAGCAUAUCAAUAAGCGGAGGAACAUAUCAAUAAGCGGAGGGAGCAUAUUAAUAAGCCGGAGGAGCUAUAUCAAUUAGCGGAGGAGCCUUUUUAUUGAGGGAAGCCCACACUCCACCGAG
Molecule: ribosomal RNA, 685 nt
Filed under: uncultured Trichoderma
Lineage: Eukaryota; Fungi; Ascomycota; Sordariomycetes; Hypocreales; Hypocreaceae
Description: eukaryotic LSU rRNA
Rfam family: 5.8S ribosomal RNA (bases 199-352)
Source: RNAcentral